ACUUAAACGUCCCUGAAGAAGAUUCAGAAAAAGUUACACCAUAAAGAAAAUGCUAUAAUGAAAAUGGUAUUCACCUCAAAUAAGCUUUAGACACAAAACCACAAGCUUUUAAUCAACACUUAAAUUGCAAAUAUUAAGCACCCACGUUCACACAUGUAUCCAAUGGCCAACAAUGCCCACAUCACCCUUUAAUGAAAAAAAGAAAAGAAAAGAGUCCAAUCACUACCUAUUCACAUCUGCUUAAUCAUACAAAAACAUAAAAAAUCCAUACUGACACGCGUCUAAAACUCAUGAAUCAAGAGGGAUGAGUAGUAGCUUUCAGACUGACUUCCCCUAAUUUCCAAUCGCCCAACUGUACAGCCAAGAAUAUUUACUUAAUUUCCAAAAGCUAUCAGUUUGCGGUAAUCCAGAUCAAGAUUUUUUGAGAUUAGGAGUAGAAGUCAUGAUCUUAAGGGUGAUUGUACCUUUUCAGUGUAUACCAUCUAAAUUAUGAUUGAAACUCUUAAAAUUGCAGGAAUUAAAGCUACCCAGUUAAAAAAAAAAUCAAUUAAUUAACAAUCAACCAUAAUCCAUCAUUUAAUAACAAAAGAAACAAAAAAUAAAGUUAUAAAGAGUGAUAAGAAAACUGAAGAAGAAGCAGGAAUCAGAAUUACCCACCUCCAUCCCAAGGAGUAUCAUCAGGUCUACAAAAAAACAAAAAACAAAAAA
Molecule: long non-coding RNA, 708 nt
Organism: Populus euphratica (Euphrates poplar)
Lineage: Eukaryota; Viridiplantae; Streptophyta; Magnoliopsida; Malpighiales; Salicaceae
Exons: 2
Source: RefSeq, a predicted model, not a curated record